Mesocricetus auratus (golden hamster) is the source of this 1079-nucleotide long non-coding RNA. RefSeq lists it as uncharacterized. NCBI's taxonomy places the organism in Eukaryota, Metazoa, Chordata, Mammalia, Rodentia, Cricetidae. The transcript is spliced from 3 exons. The record is from RefSeq and is a predicted model, not a curated record.
AGGUCGCUCUCUGCUGCUGUGUUUGGAGUUUGUCUGAAGUUAUCCCCUGUUGUCAUCUCAGAGCUUAUACCCUGGUGAUAGUCCCCAGGCCCAGGGAUGAAUUUCUACAUGGCUUUUCAAGUGUAAAUUUAGAAAACCCUGAUUCAGGACUACGGCAGUUGCAUAAGUAUCCUGUCUAAUUCGCCUUCAGGUGGAACAGUUAAAUGAGCUCAUCCAGAAAAAAAAAUUGUGAAGCGAAAGAGCCCAUGGUUCUUUCUGAGCUCCCAACAUAAAGCUAAACCCACAGCUUGAAGGCACCAGCUAACAGGGUUGUUUUCUUCUGUUGAAUUGCACAGGGCAUCCUGCAUUUGCAGUCACUGUCUACACCGAUUGCGGCUAUGAGGUGAAACUAUGUCUAUGCUACAAACCUGAUGUCUGUCUCUAGAGGCUGUCAUAUCUGAGUCCAGCCAGAGAGAAUGCAGAAACUCUGCUGUACCUUCUUCUUUGAUGGCAAAGUGCAAAAAGGAUGCUGCUACCUGCUCUAAAUACACUCAAUGGACCAGUGAUGCCAUCUUCCUGUCAGGCAGGUUGACCCUGCUGAUGAAACUUGAUGGUGUACUGGAGGCUGGGACACUUGCAGAAUCCUACCAGCUCCAAAACUGAUCUUCACAUUCACUCUCUAUAUCCCAAAGAUAAAGCAGGCUGCAGACAAUCUGUUGGAGAGCAGAAAGAAUGUGUGCAUUCUGCAUGAAGGGACUGUGCUGUGAUUUCUGAUUGUGCGUGAUGAAAUACCACAAUUCCUGCUCAGAUGUUCUCAUACUGGUGAUGGCUCUUAGAGCCUGAAGAAUUAGUUACCACCUUGGCCUGGUCUGAGGACAGUCACAGAAUGAAGCCAAUGAAGAAUGAAGUGACUGUCCCCACACACUGGUCAGCAGACAUCUUUAACAAAAGCCACACAAACAAAACAGUAAUCUUAGUAUUUUUUACAGGCUUCAGGAGAAAAGCCAUAGGAAAAAAACUACAGUUGAAAAUUCUUUUGAUUUGUAUGAAAAGCAAUGUAAAAUGGUGGAUGAUAUCAAAGUGCCACCUUGAUGUCCAUU